Molecule: long non-coding RNA, 776 nt
Organism: Esox lucius (northern pike)
Lineage: Eukaryota; Metazoa; Chordata; Actinopteri; Esociformes; Esocidae
Exons: 2
Source: RefSeq, a predicted model, not a curated record
UAGCUGUCAUCUCAUCAAACGCAUUUAGUUGGAAGUCAGACAAGUCGCACAUAAUUAAGAUUGGGGAGAAACGGAACAGCUAACAUGACUACAAUGGUGACGGUGUGCUUUGGCCUCAUUCUCAUUGCCAUGCAGUCUGUAUUACAGGUCCACGCACAGAUUACUACGAAGUCUCCGACCGUGACUACUAAAGCGGGUGUGACUUCCAUCGUGAACACUACCACCGCCAGCCCCAAAGGAGACUGUGCUUCCUUACAUUUCAGUUCUUUCACGCUCUUUAUCCCUAUGGCGGUGGUUGUUGUACUACAGGGACACGUCUAGAUCUUCUCUGCACUGAGCAUUGCCAAGACUAACCCCGGCCUUUGACGCACAAACCAAAAGCCACGUUAUCUGCCGGGAUGGCUCUGGGAGGGUUCAGUCGCACGAGCACACAUUCAUACUUAACCGAGCAUUCAUUUACGGUUCGUCCCAAAGAGUUUCCUACACUAAUUAAAAUAUGGUAGGAUACUUGAGCGGACUUGAAGGCGACUUUGUCUUCUGCACUUUAUUUUGGAUGUCGAAAUCAACAGUUGUGUGAAGCGCUUUGUGGAAAUCAAGUGCAAUUUGUGGCAUGUCCUUGUUUACUCAUGCGACAGCAAUGGAUGUUUGUCAGAGCAUUAGUAGCCUGCAGGAGAACUGCUUUUAUAGAUGUAAUUGCAUGUGGUUUCUGUUUAAUGAUUUGUAUGCCUAUUGGUUUCAUACUUGAGCAUUCUUGAACAUUAAAAUAUGAUCUUGUA